This is an RNA transcript of Limulus polyphemus (Atlantic horseshoe crab), 1898 nucleotides long. It is a transcript of the gene named galactose-1-phosphate uridylyltransferase-like, with no coding region annotated. Lineage: Eukaryota; Metazoa; Arthropoda; Merostomata; Xiphosura; Limulidae. The transcript is spliced from 13 exons. The record is from RefSeq and is a predicted model, not a curated record.
GGAACAGUUACAGUUUCGAAAACCAUGAACUUGUAGCAGACGGUUUGUGUAUCUACACCCUCCGUGCUGUUAUAGGGUUGUAGAUUUACUGUAAAGCACUACUGUGCUUUGUACCAGGAAACACAUAAAUUGAUUAAGGAGUUUCCUAUGGAAUUUGAUCCUAGAGAACACCAACAUACCAGGUACAAUCCUUUGAAGGAUGAGUGGAUUCUUGUGUCUCCUCAUCGAAUGAAGAGACCAUGGAAAGGUCAAGUAGAAAAACCAUCAGAGAAAAAAGUGCAAGCUAAGGAUUUAAAUAAUCCUUUGUGUCCCGGAGCUGUUAGAGGAAAUGGAGAGGUUAACCCUGAUUACAAACAUACUUUUACUUUUAAAAAUGACUUCCCGGCACUUUUAGAGGAUGUUCCUGAUCCAGGUCCAAGCCAACAUCCAUUAUUCAGGUCUGAAGCUGCUUGUGGAGUGUGUGAAGUCAUGUGCUUUCAUCCCAGGUCUGAUGUCACUUUACCACUGAUGACUUUGUAUGAAAUAAAUGAAGUUAUACGCAAAUGGAGUGAAAGAACUUUAGAGCUAGGGAAGAAGUAUAGAUGGGUUCAGAUUUUUGAAAACAAAGGAGAAAUAAUGGGUUGCUCUAAUCCCCAUCCACACUGUCAGAUUUGGGCAAGUUCUUUUCUACCAAAUGAGGCUCGUAUUGAAGAUCGCUCACAAAAAGAUUACUACAGAAAACAUGGAGUCCCAAUGUUAAUUGAUUAUGUGAAUCAGGAACUUGAAAUGCAGGAACGUAGUGUUGUACAUAAUGACCACUGGAUAGCAGUAGUUCCUUACUGGGCAGUGUGGCCUUAUGAAACGAUGCUUUUACCACGACGUCACGUUAAAAGGCUUUACGACCUAAAUGACACAGAAAGGGCUAGCUUGGCAGAUAUUAUGAAAAGACUGCUUACAAAAUAUGAUAACCUGUUUGAAGUUUCAUUUCCUUAUUCUAUGGGUUGGCAUGGAGCCCCAACUGGUGAUAUGGAACACAUUGAAAACUCCCACUGGCAGUUACAUGCCCAUUAUCUUCCUCCGUUACUAAGGUCAGCAACAGUGAAAAAGUUCAUGGUGGGUUACGAGAUGCUAGCUCAAGCUCAACGAGAUUUAACGUCAGAACAGGCAGCGGCAAAAUUACGUGAGCUUCCAGAAGUUCAUUUCAUGGAAUACAACAGUGAUUAUUGUGAAUGUUAACAACCCCAGGCAAUAUCAAAAAGUCCAAAAUCCAUUGAUGGGCAGGAAGUUCUCAUCCCCAAGUACUGGAUAAAACAUAGAAUUCUACAGAACAAUAACAUCAUGAAUGCUGAUGAAAAGAUGAUCUCCACUAGUAUUCAACAGAAAGACGACCACCACUAGUAUUCAACAGAAAGACGACCUCCACUAGUAUUCAACAGAAAGACGACCUCCACUAGUAUUCAACAGAAAGAAGACCUCCACUAGUAUUCAACAGAAAGAUGACUGCCACUAGUAUUCAACAGAAAGAUGACUGCCACUAGUAUUCAACAGAAAGACAACCACCACUAGUAUUCAAUAGAAAGACAACCACCACUAGUAUUCAAUGGAAAGGCAACCACCACUAGUAUUCAAUGGAAAGGCAACCACCACUAGUAUUCAAUGGAAAGACAACCACCACUAGUAUUCAACAGAAAGAUGACAACCACUGCUACUAUUGAACAGAGAGACAACCACCACUUUGUCUCCUUUUCUUUCAACAGGCAGUUGCAGUCAAUUAAAGUUCUCAAACCUUCUAUGUCUACUCUGCCUAAAAUUCCAUUGUAAUUCUUUACUCUUUAUAUUUAAUUAUAAUAUUUACUAUACCUUUUUUAAUCAUUUCUCAGCUAUUUUGUGCUGUACCUGUAAUAAAAAUGGUACCAGUU